CCCUAGUACUGCGAGUGAAGAGGGAAAAGCUCAAAUUUAAAAUCUGGCAGCUUCGCUGUCCGAGUUGUAAUUUAGAGAAGUGUUACCCGUGUUGGACCGUGUAUAAGUCUCCUGGAAUGGAGCGUCAUAGAGGGUGAGAAUCCCGUCUUUGACACGGACUACCAAUGCAUUGUGGUGCGCUCUCRAAGAGUCGAGUUGUUUGGGAAUGCAGCUCUAAAUGGGUGGUAAAUUCCAUCUAAAGCUAAAUAUUGGCGAGAGACCGAUAGCGAACAAGUACCGUGAGGGAAAGAUGAAAAGAACUUUGGAAAGAGAGUUAAACAGUACGUGAAAUUGCUGAAAGGGAAACGCUUGAAGUCAGUCGCGUUGGCCGGGGAUCAGCCUUGCUUUUGUGAGGUGUACUUCCUGGUUGACGGGUCAGCAUCAGUUUCGACCACUGGAAAAAGACUUGGGGAAUGUGGCAACUUCGGUUGUGUUAUAGCCCUUUGUCGUAUACAGUGAUUGGGACUGAGGAACUCAGCACGCCGCAAGGCCGGGUUUCGACCACGUUCGUGCUUAGGAUGCUGGCAAAAUGGCUUUAAUCGACCCGUCUUGAAACACGGACCAAGGAGUCUAACAUGCUUGCGAGUGUUUGGGUGGAAAACCCGAGCGCGUAAUGAAAGUGAAAGUUGGGAUCUCUGUCGUGGAGAGCACCGACGCCCGGACCAGAAGUUUACUGACGGAUCUGCGGUAGAGCACGUAUGUUGGGACCCGAAAGAUGGUGAACUAUGCCUGAAUAGGGUGAAGCCAGAGGAAACUCUGGUGGAGGCUCGUAGCGAUUCUGACGUGCAAAUCGAUCGUCGAAUUUGGGUAUAGGGCGAAAGACUA
Molecule: ribosomal RNA, 864 nt
Filed under: Marasmius auranticapitatus
Lineage: Eukaryota; Fungi; Basidiomycota; Agaricomycetes; Agaricales; Marasmiaceae
Description: Marasmius sp. JJSO-2022a partial large subunit ribosomal RNA
Source: RNAcentral